UACGGAGGGUGCAAACGUUGCUCGGAAUUAUUGGGCGUAAAGCGCACGUAGGCGGCUCUAUAAGUUGGAUGUGAAAACCCUCGGCUCAACCAAGGAAGUGCAUCCAAAACUGCAGAGCUUGAGUACUUAAGAGGAUCGCGGAAUUCCCGGUGUAGAGGUGAAAUUCGUAGAUAUCGGGAGGAACACCAGUGGCGAAGGCGGCGAUCUGGGAAGAUACUGACGCUGAGGUGCGAAAGCGUGGGGAGCAAACAGG
RNAcentral lists this ribosomal RNA (253 nucleotides) under uncultured bacterium. Its description in RNAcentral is "partial 16S ribosomal RNA". It matches the Rfam family "Bacterial small subunit ribosomal RNA", at positions 524 to 776 of the family's 1533-position model. The record is from RNAcentral.